UAAUCAAAACUGGAAUUAAAAAUGAAUAAAUUAAGUAAGGAUUAAUCAUGAUUAACGGGGGAUUAAUAUGAACAUGGAGCAUGGGGGUGGGUUUAACAGAUGGAGGUGUAGGAGAUGAAUGUUUGUUUGCUUGGGCCAAAGGCCUAAGUCUUGCCAAAAAUAUCCAAGGACGGGUUCAACAUGAAUGUCCAGAAGUCGCCCUUCACGUUAAACCACACACGCUCAGCCACACAUCAUCCACGGCCAAAGGCGACAUGUGACAGAGGAUCUAGUGCACAACCAUGGAGAAACAAAGAAACAAUAACGUCAACAACCUCUUACGACGAAUUCAAGAACAUACCUCGAAUCGAAUCUCAACCAAUUGAAGAAUGGACAACAUACCGGGUUCGUGCGUUGUUGAUGUUCGUCGUUGUGCGUUUCAUCGAUAAAGAAGACGAUGAAGAUGAAGAGUGGAGCUCUUCUCGAUUUGUUCUUCAUGGCCCUGAAGUUUUUGCUGGUUGAGUGAAGUCCGAAUGUUGGUUAGAGAAACGGCUCUGUUAUGAAUGGCCAUGAUGAAAUUCUGUUACUUCACUUUUGAGCUUCUUCGACAAUGUUCUUGCGAGGUUCUCGUUGGAAUUCUUUUGAAGGUGAAAUUGGUAGUAGUCUUAUGUGUAGGAUCAGGGGUAGCACCACAUUUAUCUCCAUUAAACUGUGAUACUCUAAGACCUAUUAAUCUUACUAAAACAGGAAGUUCAACUUUCAGCAACUUUGAUGCAUGCUUCAGAAUAUCCUCACUUGAGUUGAUGUUGGCAGGGUAUUGAAGCUAGAGUAGAAUUUGGAAGGUCGAGUGAAGGAGAAAAAUUCAGUUCUGCGCAUGAUUGUUUUGAAGUUAUCCUAUUUCUCUAACUUGGAGUAUACAUGUCUUAUUGUGGUGAGUUAGAAAUGUCUGAAUGUUGUUUCAUUUGAUUUUGCAGGUUAUUGUGAUUUUGGAAUUGAUGAUCACGGUGUCUUCAUUGGCUUUCUUGGUGGAAAUAUGCUUUGGCCAUGGAUUUAUUGAUAUGGUUUUUGUAGGAUGAAAUGUAAUAAGACUUGGAAAUUGUAAUGUAAUUGAUGUAAUGGUUUAUGUAUGGCUAAAGGGAAUGAUAAAAAUGGUUUAUUAGGAAAUCGAUUGUAUGGUUAAGAUUGAAAUAUUGUAAUGGAAACUUUUGAGUGUAAGAAAAAUAUUUGUGUAUGGAAUGACAUGGUUUAUGGAAUA
Molecule: RNA transcript, 1234 nt
Organism: Lathyrus oleraceus (garden pea)
Lineage: Eukaryota; Viridiplantae; Streptophyta; Magnoliopsida; Fabales; Fabaceae
Exons: 2
Source: RefSeq, a predicted model, not a curated record